Molecule: long non-coding RNA, 1961 nt
Filed under: Callithrix jacchus (white-tufted-ear marmoset)
Lineage: Eukaryota; Metazoa; Chordata; Mammalia; Primates; Cebidae
Description: lncRNA (ENSCJAG00000081045.1)
Source: RNAcentral
UCAUGUGUUUAUUAAUGGUAUAUAUUCUUCAUUGACAUACCACUUCAAAUGUUGUCCAUAUUUUAUAUUUUAUUGUUUUUCUUACUGAGUCAUAAGAGCACUUUUUAAUAUUUUGAGCACAAUGCUGUUGCCAAAUAUAUAUAUUUUUAAGUAUUUUUUUCCAUUCUGUGGCUUGUGUUUACAUUUUCUUUGAGUGACCUGUGGGGAUCGCUCCUGUGUGAGGCCCCUAGGAAAUGGGCCUCGCCAUAAGGUGAGCUUGAGCUGGGACACAGAUCCCCAGUUGGGAGAGUCGAGCUGAGGGAAAGCAGGAACCUAGAGAGGGACUAUGCUAUUCAAAACAAUUAACAGACAUUACUUUAUGGAUAUGAGGACUUGGGAGGCAUUGUGUCCACUUUUGGCUCCUUAUGGUUUAUUGCUUGAUUGUGUUCAUUUUGGACCCUUGUUACCUUCAUCGUAAAAUAUUAACUUAAGUAUUUACACUUGGUAACUUACUUAUCGUAACUUACUGGGUGUAACUGUAACUUACCUACCAUAACUUACUGGGCGCAACCGUAACUUACUUACCAUAACUUACUGGGCGUAACUGACUUACUGGGCUUAACUUACUUACUGGGCAUAACUUAGUGGGCAUAACUUGCUUACUGUAACUUAAGUAUGUUGAUCUGGCAUAAACAUCAUUAACUUCAGAAAAGUAUAUAAUGGAACAUAUUGCAAAAAUAAAAUUGCUGCUUGGACAUAGCCUAAGCCAGCCCUCCAGACUCCGCUUUUUUUUUUCUUUUACUUCCGCCCACUCUCUCCCUCAGGUUGAACGAGACAUCUACGUUGGUGGUCUUGGGGAUUCCCGCAGCAUACGUAUGCUGGAAUUUUAUCUUGCCAAGUAUUGCCUUAUGUUGCUACUUAUUUACGGCUGCAUGAAAUCCUUUUCCACAAAUGCAUCACAUGGUGUUCUGCGGUUUUCUUCUAUAUUGCAGCGGAUAAAAGAUAUGGCUCUCUGGAGAAAAGAUAAAUGACAAAGUGGCUCACAUUGGUAAUCCCAGCAAUUCCGCCAGCUGAGUGGGAGGAUCCCUUGAGCCCUGGAGUUCCAGUCCACAGUGAGCGAUAAUUGCUAUAAUCAUGUCACUGCAUUCCAGCCUGGAUGACAGACCAAGACCCAUCUCUUUAAAAAAAAAAAAAAAGGAAAGAAAGAAAAGAAAAGAAUGUAUAGAACAUUUAUUUUUUAUUUAGGACCAACCAUUGUUUCAUCUCUUAAAGACCUAAAUAGUAACAAUUCUAUUAAGAAGCUGGGAUUGGAAGAAUAAAUUGCAUGAAUCUAUUUGGAGAAUUAACAUGGAAAACUAUUGUCACAUGAUUCUUUUCUUACAUUUCAUUAAUUGUUAUCUCCACAGAGGAUUUAAAUAAUUGCAUUUGUUACAUUUUAAGAAAGUAGUUCUACCCUAUGGGGGUUUGAAGUAGAGGUGCAGGUGAAUGGAGGCGACACAGUGCUUUACACUAAAUGGAUCCAGCCAGCUGUGGUUUCCAAGCGCUUGAGCCUGCUCUUUACAGUUUCCUUUAAAAUGGUUAUAUCUGCUCUGGGAAGGUAAUACCAAUAAUCAAGUUUAUUAGAUGUGUAUAUAAUUAAAGUUAAUGGUCCUUGAGAGGUGUCUUGAGGGCCCUUCAAUGAGGAAAGGACAUGAGAUUUCAAGGCAUGGGCUUCAUAAAAUCUCUUUUGGUUACUCAGAUACACUCUAUCGUUUAUUUUUGUUUCAGGGUGAAUUUGAGGGUACUCAGACAGAGUAUUACUGUGAAUAUAUCCAUAAAUUUAUUAUUUAUUGUCAUGUUAUAUACCUUAUUAAAAUCUCCUUUCAAAUUUUCAAAUUAUUUCUAAUGCAUGUAGAAAAUAUGGCAGAUUUUUAAUAUUGAAAUUGAUGCCAAAUUCAUUAAGAAUGUUAAAUUUAAUAUUGAGAAAUAAUACAAAUUAAAAU